RNAcentral lists this transfer RNA (73 nucleotides) under Crassvirales sp. RNAcentral's name for it is "tRNA-Gln". It matches the Rfam family "tRNA". From Rfam's summary of the family: Transfer RNA (tRNA) molecules are approximately 80 nucleotides in length. Their secondary structure includes four short double-helical elements and three loops (D, anti-codon, and T loops). The record is from RNAcentral. Lineage: Duplodnaviria; Heunggongvirae; Uroviricota; Caudoviricetes; Crassvirales.
UGCCCCAUAGUGUAAUUGGUUAGCACAUAAGACUUUGAUUCUUAGAUUGUUGGUUCAAGUCAAGCUGGGGUAA